Molecule: ribosomal RNA, 632 nt
Filed under: uncultured fungus
Lineage: Eukaryota; Fungi
Description: eukaryotic LSU rRNA
Rfam family: Eukaryotic large subunit ribosomal RNA
Source: RNAcentral
CCCGCUGAACUUAAGCAUAUCAAUAAGCGGAGGAAAAGAAACUAACAAGGAUUCCCCUAGUAACUGCGAGUGAAGCGGGAAAAGCUCAAAUUUAAAAUCUGGCGGUCUUUCGGCCGUCCGAGUUGUAAUCUGGAGAAGCGUUUAUCCGCGUUGGACCGUGUACAAGUCUUCUGGAAGGGAGCGUCAUAGAGGGUGAGAAUCCCGUCUUUGACACGGACUACCAAUGCUUUUGUGAUGCGCUCUCGAAGAGUCGAGUUGUUUGGGAAUGCAGCUCAAAAUGGGUGGUAAAUUCCAUCUAAAGCUAAAUAUUGGCGAGAGACCGAUAGCGAACAAGUACCGUGAGGGAAAGAUGAAAAGCACUUUGGAAAGAGAGUAAAACAGUACGUGAAAUUGUUGAAAGGGAAACGCUUGAAGUCAGUCGCGUCUGCCGGAACUCAGCCUUGCUCAUGCUUGGUGCACUUUCCGGUCUGACGGGCCAGCAUCGGUUUUGGGCGGCGGACACUGGCGAGGGGAAGGUGGCAGCUCCGGCUGUGUUAUAGCCCCCCGUCGCAAACGUCGUCUGGGACCGAGGAAUCCGGCGCAAGCCUGGGAUGCUGGCGUAAUGGCUUUAAGCGACCCGUCUUGAAACACGG